This 277-nucleotide ribosomal RNA is filed under the name uncultured eukaryote. RNAcentral's name for it is "partial 18S ribosomal RNA". It matches the Rfam family "Eukaryotic small subunit ribosomal RNA", at positions 21 to 294 of the family's 1831-position model. The record is from RNAcentral.
UAGUCAUAUGCUUGUCUCAAAGAUUAAGCCAUGCAUGUCUAAGUAUGAACACGCUUUGUACGGUGAAACUGCGAAUGGCUCAUUAUAUCAGUGAUCAUUUAUUUGAUGAUGCCUUACUACGUGGAUAACCGUGGUAAUUCUAGAGCUAAUACAUGCACACGACUCCCGACUCGCGAGGGAAGGGAGGUAUUUAUUAGGUAAGAACCAGCCCUGGCAACAGGAGCUCUGGUGAUUCAUGAUAACUGCACGAAUCGCACGGCCUUGAGCUGGCGAUGGA